AGUUGUAUCCUGGCUCAGAACGAACGCUGGCGGCAGGCCUAACACAUGCAAGUCGAGCGCUGCCUUCGGGUGGAGCGGCGGACGGGUUAGUAACGCGUGGGAAUAUACCCUUCACUAUGGAAUAGCCUCGGGAAACUGAGAGUAAUACCAUAUACGCCCUUCGGGGGAAAGAUUUAUCGGUGAAGGAUUAGCCCGCGUAAGAUUAGAUAGUUGGUGGGGUAAUGGCCUACCAAGUCUACGAUCUUUAGCUGGUUUUAGAGGAUGAUUAGCAACACUGGGACUGAGACACGGCCCAGACUCCUACGGGAGGCAGCAGUGGGGAAUCUUAGACAAUGGGCGAAAGCCUGAUCUAGCCAUGCCGCGUGAGUGAUGAAGGUCUUAGGAUCGUAAAGCUCUUUCGCUAGGGAUGAUAAUGACAGUACCUAGUAAAGAAGCCCCGGCUAACUCCGUGCCAGCAGCCGCGGUAAUACGGAGGGGGCUAGCGUUGUUCGGAAUUACUGGGCGUAAAGCGUACGUAGGCGGAUCAGAAAGUAUGGGGUGAAAUCCCAGGGCUUAACCCUGGAACUGCCUCAUAAACUCCUGGUCUUGAGUUCGAGAGAGGUGAGUGGAAUUCCAAGUGUAGAGGUGAAAUUCGUAGAUAUUUGGAGGAACACCAGUGGCGAAGGCGGCUCACUGGCUCGAUACUGACGCUGANGUACNAAAGUGUG
This 707-nucleotide ribosomal RNA is filed under the name uncultured Sulfitobacter sp. Its description in RNAcentral is "bacterial SSU rRNA". It matches the Rfam family "Bacterial small subunit ribosomal RNA", at positions 10 to 763 of the family's 1533-position model. The record is from RNAcentral. Lineage: Bacteria; Pseudomonadati; Pseudomonadota; Alphaproteobacteria; Rhodobacterales; Roseobacteraceae.